GAGGAGGGCUGGGAAAAAGUGGCUUUUAGGAAUUAGUGCUCUUGAAUUGCCUAAAAGAGAAGUCUCUCAUGCUUGAGGCUUGGCUGCGGGGUUAGGGAAAGGCAAAACUGGACCAGUCCUUUAGAGCACGAAUAAGUGUGUGACACGGAGCAAGCGAUGGUGAAUGUCUGUGCUGGGGCUGCAGGGGGGCUCCUGCCCCUCCGGAGGGGCUGUGUCCCCCCGGGCCCAUCCCAAAGCAUUCCUUGCAGGCAGCACUGGUCCCAUUCCCGCUUCCAUCCUGGCCGAACAUGCGCUUUGGUUUCACUGUGCUGGGAGCGGGUCCAGAGGCAGCAUGGCUGCGACUGCUGCCGUCAGCCCCAGUGAAUACCUGCAGCCGGCCGCCUCCAGCGCCCAGGACUCCCAACCAUCUCCUCUCGCCCUCCUCGCAGCGACAUGUAGCAAGAUCGGUCCCCCCGCAGCAGAAGCCGUCGUGACUCCUCCUGCCCCUCCUCAGCCAACGCCGCGCAAGCUCGUCCCCAUCAAACCUGCUCCGCUGCCCCUGGGCUCCGGUAAGAACAGCUUUGGGAUCCUGUCGUCGAAAGGCAACGUCUUCCAGAUCCAGGGCUCUCAGGUCAGCACCUCCUACCCCGGGGGGCAGCUGGUUUUUGCCAUCCAGAACCCAACUGUCAUCAACAAGGGGACCCGCUCGUCCACCACCAACAUCCAGUACCAGGCAGUGCCUCAGAUCCAGGCCACAGGGGGACAGACCAUCCAGGUCCAGCCUAACCAGAUCCAGAUUAUUCCGGGCACGAAUCAAGCCAUCCUCACCCCUUCCUCUUCCUCUCACAAGCCUGUGCCCAUCAAACCGGCUCCGGUGCAGAAAGGAGGAGCUUCCCCAGCGCAGGGCACGAGCAGCGUGGUCAAGUUGAGCGGUGGCAGCAACGUGACUCUGACCCUGCCCGUGAACAACCUGGUGAACGCCGCCGAGCCGGGCGCCCAGGCUCAGCUCCUGGCAGAGAGCUCCUCCAAACCCCCCAAAAAGCCUCGGAAGAAAGCCAUGUCACCCACCCAGCCCACCGCGGUGGCCGUGGCCGAGCAGGUGGAGACGGUGUUGAUAGAGACCACGGCAGAGAACAUCAUCCAGGCGGGCAACAACCUGCUGAUCGUGCAGAGCCCCGGCUCCGGCCAGCCGGCCGUGGUGCAGCAGGUACAAGUGGUGCAGCCCAAGCAGGAGCCCCAAGUGGUGCAGAUCCCGCAGCAGGCCCUGCGUGUGGUCCAGGCCGCCUCUGCCACGCUCCCCACCGUCCCCCAAAAACCCUCCCAGAACUUCCAGAUCCAAACGACGGAACCUACUCCUACCCAGGUCUACUUCAAAACCCCAUCGGGCGAGCUGCAGACCGUGCUGCUCCAGGAAGCUCCGGCCAUCACAGUGGCUCCAUCCGGGACCUCUUGCAGCAGCCCCGUGUCCCGCAGCGCCGGCACGGGGGGUUCCAGCACCAGCACCACCAGCACCAGCAGCAGCAGCAGGAAAGGCGCCGUGCGCAAGGAGCGCACCCUGCCCAAGAUCGCGCCGGCCGGAGGCAUCAUCAGCCUGAGCGCGGCGCAGCUGGCGGCCGCUGCGCAGGCCAUGCAGACCAUCAACAUCAACGGCGUGCAAGUGCAGGGCGUGCCCGUCACCAUCACCAACAGCGGAGCCCCCGUCACGGCUGCCGGGUGCUGUGCAGGGCCCAGGCUGCCGCCUCCGUGGCGCCCGAGCGUGGAGCGGCCCUUUGGGUCCGGGGCCAGCAGCAGCUCACUGUGCAGAAUGUGUCCGGCAACAACCUGACCAUCAGCGGCCUGAGCCCGACCCAGAUCCAGCUCCAGAUGGAGCAAGCGCUGUCCGGAGAGGCUCAACCUGGGGAGAAGAGGCGGCGGAUGGCGUGUACCUGCCCCAACUGCAAGGACGGGGACAAGAAGCCGGGCGACGCAGGGAAGAAGAAGCACAUCUGCCACAUCCCCGAGUGCGGGAGGACCUUCCGCAAGACGUCGCUGCUGCGGGCCCACGUGCGCCUGCACACGGGCGAGCGCCCCUUCGUCUGCAACUGGGUGUUCUGCGGGAAGCGCUUCACACGCAGCGACGAGCUGCAGCGACACGCUCGCACGCACACAGGUGACAAGCGCUUCGAGUGCGCGCAGUGCCAGAAGCGCUUCAUGCGGAGCGACCACCUCACGAAGCACUAUAAAACCCACCUGGUCACCAAGAACUUGUAGGGCCAGGAGCUGCCCCACGGCUGAGCGGACAGAGCCCAGCCAGGGGUCACCACCCAGCAGCAGCACUCCAGUGUCACCAGUGCCACGGAGAGGAGCCCUCAGGGACAUCCUCCUGCCCUUGGCCGAUGCCACCGCGCAGCAGCAGCCACUUCCAAAGGGUGCGAGGGGCCGACCCUGCCUGCGCAUCCCGGGAGCCAGCAGCGGUCCGGAGCCGGGUACGGAGGGGACUGCACACGCCGGCGCGGGCGGGCUGGGAGAGGCUCCACAGCACAUUCCUACUUUAUAUUUAAAGUCUAUAAAUAGCUAUAAAUAUCUAUAUAACCCCUUUGGAAGGUCCCUUUUUUUCUAUGGAGAUCGUUGCCUUACGCUCCCUGCUCCCGAUGACGAACACUGUGUAUUGUGAGCACUCUUUGGAACCUAUUUAAUUUCUGCUGCCCCUUUUGCCCCCUUUUUCUCCUAACAUUGCUUUCUUUUCUGACACCGAAGAGUUGGUUUUCCUUUCCCUCCACUGAUUUCUCUCUCCCCACUUUUCCUUUACCAAGCGACGUGGCAUUUCCUUACCCACUUUUGGGACGUGAGCCCCUUUCCCUCCCCUGCUGCCCUCCUCCUUCCCCUGUGUAUAGUGUACAUUGUACCAUAGAUUCUAUUGCUUUUGUGUUUACGACAUGUUUUGAAAAGAAAACCAUAUGGCUUGUUAUUUUUGAGCUUUUAAAUUAAACCAAAUCCACUUUAUUUUGGAGUUGUAACCGCCCAGGGUUGUUUCCUGCAGUAGGUGACGGGGCUGUUACACUCGAUGAACUGUAACCGUGGAGCCAGCCGGGAGCUUUCCUUGCUAAAUAAACUUAGUCACCAGAGGCAAAUCCA
Molecule: RNA transcript, 3093 nt
Organism: Strigops habroptila (Kakapo)
Lineage: Eukaryota; Metazoa; Chordata; Aves; Psittaciformes; Psittacidae
Gene: SP2
Gene name: Sp2 transcription factor
Exons: 8
Source: RefSeq, a predicted model, not a curated record